This 2868-nucleotide small RNA is filed under the name Pan troglodytes (chimpanzee). RNAcentral describes it as "retained intron". Lineage: Eukaryota; Metazoa; Chordata; Mammalia; Primates; Hominidae. The record is from RNAcentral.
AUGAGAGGUGGUCCCAUCAAGAACUACGUGACGCUGGUGAGCCGCCUAAAUGUUUGGCAGGCCCGUGUCUCCAGUAUGCCUAUCGAGUUGCUCACAAAAGGCAGGUUGCUGCUACUUAGCUGCCAUGAUGUACAGGCAGAGAUGGAAUCCAAGCUGAACAGCAUAAGGAAGGACAUUCUUGCACACGUGCAAAAUGAGUGCUGGAACCUCAGUCAACAACUCAUGACAGAGCUCACAGAUUUCAUGCAUAUCUUCCGAACCAUCAACUCAGAUAUUCAUGCCAUCGCACAGUGCACCCAGAAGUUGAAUGAAGCCAAUGAACAGUACGUCGAGCUGGAGGAGCGAAUGGAAUACGUACGGGCACUCCAUGAACUCAUCCGCAACCACUUUAGCCUCUUUAGUGCUGAGAAUGAAGCACUGGACAUCUCGUUCAGCCCAGCUAUGGCCCAGGAGAAGACAGAGGGCUGGCUGACAGAGGCAGCACGGAUGAGCACAACCCUGGAGCUGCACAGCCCCGUGCUGCAGCACUGCAUGCGCAUCCUGGGGGAGUUUCGCAGCUACCUGCCCCUGCUCACUAAGCUGGGCAGCCUCCACCCACAGAGCCUCAACUGCCAGUGUCUCCUGCGUGACCCAGAGAAGAGCUGCCAGCCAGUGUUGGAGACUCUGCGCCAGGCCAUGGAUGGCACUGUGUAUGCCCACAGCACCUUGGAACUGCAGACACUGCAGCCUACAGUCAACUUCCUUGCCACUGUCACAGUGCCAGGAUACUGUGAGCGCCCACUGUGUCCACGCCUCUUUCGACUCUUCACAGUCCUAGCCCUGGAAAGCAUGACCCAGGCCACCCUGCUGGACAGACAUGUGCCUAUCAUUCAGGCUUGGCUUGAGCGUUUCCCUUCUGUGGAACGGGAGCGUGCUCUGGCACGAGGUCUGGUUAGGGCCUCAGUAGAGGCCUGGGAGGCUGUGUGCAAUUGCUUCAUGCCUUCACCCCUCCACCCACACUACCACUUCUCCCUACACUCUGUGAGCCACCUAUUGAGCAGCCUGCAGCUGCUGCCCAACAGAAUAGGCUCCCGAGGUUUUGUGGACUAUCCCAACCACCAGGAGCACUUGCACCGGGUGUCAGGCCUGCGAGGCACUUGUCUGACUGUUAUGAUGGCCACACGCAAUGUGGUGCGUCUUUGGUUGCAUGAGGCACAGAGAACCUUUUGUGACCGGCUGGACAGCCCCAGGGAACGCUCCUACUGUGCCAAGCUGCUCCUAGUAGUAGCUCAGAGUGUCUUCUGCUGUGGGCCAGGGCCCCAGCACCUGGGCAAGGACCAUCAGGAGAGUGAGGAGGAGGAGGAGGAGGAGAGGGUGCCUGAAGUAGAAUCUGAAGGGGAGUUGGCCCAGUGGGAGGACUUCAGCAACAGCAACAGUGAAACAGAGGAGGAAGAGGAACCUUAUGGCCUUCAGGUCGCCAGAGUCUCAAACUCCAGAGAUCCAAGUCUAACACCAUCCACAGGACCAGUACGCAGGGGGAUGAAGGAAAGCAUAAGUCACAAGAUAAGGCAAGAGAAAGGCACAGGGGCAUCCAACUAUAGGCUCCAGGUAAGGAGAUCAUUCAAGACUUGGUGGCAGAAGAAACCCCAGAUGGACCUGAUCUCACCCUUGUUGUUACCAGUGCUACUACUACAUCCCCAGGAAAAGCCCUCAGACCUGGUCUUCAGUCAGGAGCUGAUACUGGGGCCUAACUCUGAGACCCCCAACUUGUACCUGGAACGACAGUGGGAGAAGCUAGAGGAGCAGUUGGCCACCUCAGCUGCUCAACUGAAGUUGAGCCCCCACCUGGCCCGGUGUCAUUCCAUGGCCCAGCACGUGGCCCGCCUGGUCCGGGUGCUGGCCAGGCCCCGGCAGCAUGGCCUGCUGCUCUCGGGGGCUCUGGGUACUGGGCGCCACACUGCCAUCACUCUGGCUUCUAGCAUUUGUCAGGCCCAUUUCUUUCAUCUACCAUCUGGGUCAGAGGAGGCCAUUCUCCAAUGUCUACGAGAUGCCAGCUGGCAUGCUGGCAUGUUAAGCCAGCCAGUGGCUCUGUUGGUACCCAGUGGUGUGGAUCUCACUACACUUCAUCGCCUCCUGGCCCUGGCAACCUCAGGCAGUUUCCCUGGCCAGUACACAGAAGCAGAUUUGGACCGCAUUGGAGAACACCUCCCCAGGGAGAACCUUGGUGUCAAACAGAACAUCAAGAAGGAAAUGGUGUUGCAGAGGUGAGGCCAAGAACCCCAUAUGCGAAUCUGCUCUGCUCUUACGCUGUCUUGGCCAAAAGGCCAAAAGGAAUUCUGUGGGCUGCCAUGAGGGCUGAGAAGAUUGGGGCUAAGUGGUCUGGCUGGGACUGGGGCCAGGAGGGGCAAGCAAAGGUAAAGGGGAGGACAUUAGCUGAGCCCUGGCCCACAGGUUCCACCAGCAAGUGUGCAGCCACCUUCACCUGUUCUUCCUGAUUGGAGAUAAACAGGCCCACAAGCAGCUGCCCUCCACCCUUUUCCUGAGGCUCCUUCAACUGGCCACUGCCAGCAUUGACCGCUAUGAACCCUGGGACCAAGCUGCCCUGGUCAAGGUGGCCCAGCAUCACCUGGAGGGUGCUCAGAGUGUACCCCUUGAUGACGGAUCCAGCAUGCCUUGGAGAAUCUGAGAAUGCUGACUAAGGAGCACGGUACCCAUGCCAAUCUGAUCUUUGACUUGGAACAGCAGCUGAAAGACUCCGGCAAGGCCUUGGAAUAUUCUGAUUUCUGCAGUUACUAAUUUUUUUAGUUACAACAGCAACUUCUUUCUACUCUUUCAGUCUUCUAAUACUUGUAAUUAAGUCUCUGUAUUAAAAGUCCUCUUCUUGAAAUA